This 520-nucleotide unclassified non-coding RNA is filed under the name uncultured Glomus. RNAcentral describes it as "SSU rRNA". It matches the Rfam family "Eukaryotic small subunit ribosomal RNA", at positions 569 to 1091 of the family's 1831-position model. Lineage: Eukaryota; Fungi; Glomeromycota; Glomeromycetes; Glomerales; Glomeraceae. The record is from RNAcentral.
GGCAGCCGCGGUAAUUCCAGCUCCAAUAGCGUAUAUUAAAGUUGUUGCAGUUAAAAAGCUCGUAGUUGAAUUUCGGGGUUAGUAGGUUGGUCAUGCCUCUGGUAUGUACUGGUCUCACUGAUUCCUCCUUCCUGAUGAACCUUAAUGCCAUUAAUUUGGUGUUUUGGGGAAUUUGGACUGUUACUUUGAAAAAUUAGAGUGUUUAAAGCAAGCUAACGCUUGAAUACAUUAGCAUGGAAUAAUGAAAUAGGACGUUCGAUCCUAUUUUGUUGGUUUCUAGGAUUGACGUAAUGAUUAAUAGGGAUAGUUGGGGGCAUUAGUAUUCAAUUGUCAGAGGUGAAAUUCUUGGAUUUAUUGAAGACUAACUACUGCGAAAGCAUUUGCCAAGGAUGUUUUCAUUAAUCAAGAACGAAAGUUAGGGGAUCGAAGACGAUCAGAUACCGUCGUAGUCUUAACCAUAAACUAUGCCGACUAGGGAUCGGAUGAUGUUAAUUUUUUAAUGACUCAUUCGGCGCCUUAC